This 43-nucleotide ribosomal RNA is filed under the name Protoglossum violaceum. RNAcentral describes it as "partial 18S ribosomal RNA". RNAcentral also lists the same sequence under 1 other name. Lineage: Eukaryota; Fungi; Basidiomycota; Agaricomycetes; Agaricales; Cortinariaceae. The record is from RNAcentral.
CGGUAACAAGGUUUCCGUAGGUGAACCUGCGGAAGGAUCAUUA